Molecule: unclassified non-coding RNA, 413 nt
Filed under: soil metagenome
Description: partial contains 5.8S ribosomal RNA, internal transcribed spacer 2, and large subunit ribosomal RNA
Rfam family: 5.8S ribosomal RNA (bases 1-120)
Source: RNAcentral
GAUGAAGAACGUAGCGAAAUGCGAUAAGUAAUGUGAAUUGCAGAAUUCAGUGAAUCAUCGAAUCUUUGAACGCACCUUGCGCUCUUUGGUAUUCCGAAGAGCAUGCCUGUUUGAGUGUCAUGAAAAUAUCAACCUUGACUUGGGUUUUGUGCUCUAGUCUCGGCUUGGAAUUGGGUGCUUGCCGCUUUUACGAGCGGCUCACCUUAAAUGUAUUAGCUGGAUCUGUCUUUGAGACUUGGUUUGACUUGGCGUAAUACGUAUUUCGCUAAGGACAUUCUUCGGAGUGGCCUCGUUUCUAGGACGCUUGUCCGCUUUCCAAUACAAGUUCCACCUCGUGGACAUGACUUUUUAUUAUCUGGCCUCAAAUCAGGUAGGACUACCCGCUGAACUUAAGCAUAUCAAUAAGCGGAGGA